This 6611-nucleotide long non-coding RNA is filed under the name Sus scrofa (pig). RNAcentral describes it as "lncRNA (ENSSSCG00040050753.1)". Lineage: Eukaryota; Metazoa; Chordata; Mammalia; Artiodactyla; Suidae. The record is from RNAcentral.
GGGUUAUGUUUUCACUCUGCUGAUGGUGUCUUGUGAUGCACUGAUGUUUUGAUAGUUUAAUUUUUCUAUUUUUUUCUUUUGUUGUACUACAAGAGCUUGAGUGAUUCUGACGUAGCCAAAUUUGGGAACCCUAAAUUUGGUCCAUAGUCUAAACAUUUUUUUAUUUAAACCCUCACCUCCCUCUUUUUUUGCUUUUUCCAAGUGAAGACUCACCCGGGGGGGAAAAAAUCUAUUUUUAAAAGAAAGAACUUUUUUUAAAAUUUUUUUGUUUUUUAUUAAAGUGUAGUUGAUUUACAGUGUUGUUCCAAUUUCUGCUGUAUAGCAAAGUUACCCAGUCGUGUGUGUAUGUGUAUAGAUAUAUACACAUUCCUUUUAUCAUGCAAUUGUCCAUCACAUUCUAUCCCAAGAGACUGGAUAUAGUUCCCUGUGCUAUACAGUAGGAUCUCAUUGCUUAAACAUUCUAAAUGCAGCAGUUUGCAUCUACGAACCCCAAACUCCUAGUCCAUCCCACUCCCUCCCCAAUCCCCUUGGCUACCGAGUCCGAGUCCGUUAAAAGAGAGAACUUCUUGGAUGAACGGUUGUCUUCCAAAUGAGUACCUGAUCCCUGGUCUCCCGAUUCCCCCAGCAAUAUCUUCAGAAGAACUUCCACAGGUUUAAACAGCAUUGAUCUAGUGAUCUAACUCCCCACCACCACCUUUUAAAAUGGGGACACUGGGUCCUAGCAAAGGAAAAUGCGUUUCUAGCUUGAUUCCUGGCUGAUCAAGGUGACCAUUUGAUGUGAAAAAAUCAACAAAGAAGAUGUUUGUGUGUACAGGGAGCUUUGAAAUAAAAGCACAAUGCAAAGGUAAAAAUAAGACAAGUUUGCCAUCUCUUAAUGCAAAAGAUCACUCAAGUUUAACUAGGUAAUUAAUUAAUUCACAAGUCAAUCCGAAGUAAGAGCAAUUACUAAACAAUGACAAAUGAUAAGGAAUAAACCCUAAGGUAAGUGAUGAUCAAGAAGAUGAAACAGUUUUAGCUUGGAAUCCUAUUACAAUUCUAUUUCAAUAUAAAUAAGCUGACACCAGAAGCAAACGAUUAACCCCAAAGCCACUGGCUGUUCAUUAGCUAAGGAAUAAUUUUACAUUUCAUUAUUAUUUGUGUUGGCUAAAUUUCCAUUAAAGCCAAUUUAGUAAACUGGCCUUCUGAUGGGCUUGAAAUUAAAAGGAGGAAGAGAAGGCAGGGAGGGGACAAAACAGAGGGCAUCAUUUGAGCAUCUAGGGACGAGAAACUCAUGGGGGCAGAUUGCCACUUUAAUUAAAAAUAAUGUCUCAAUUCACUUUGAAAAUGAGCCUCCGGAAAGUGCCUGGGAAAUUUUCCCUGGCCAGAGUGUCUGGCUCAUUCAUGCAGUGGGUGAUUUCUGUUGCCAGGGUUUCUGAUUGAAUGGAGGAAUGGCCGGCUCAUUCCCGGGUCAACUCCUCACAUCCCCAGCUGAGCAGUCUUCAGGAGGAGAGAAAGGGCUCCUCAAAUGCUUGUCCCAGAGCCUGGGCAGAGAAGUCCCUGCUUCAUUCUUUGGGCCAGGAUGCAGGCUUAAGGAUUUUUAUGUAACAUAAAAAUGAGAGGAAACUUCCCAGUGUAGCUUAGUAGUAAUGAACCCAACUGGUAUCCAUGAGGAUUCGGGUUCCAUCCCUGACCUUGUUCACUGGAUUAAGGAUCCAGCAUUGCCAUGAGCUGUGCUGUAGCUGCCAGCCUAUGCCAGAGCCACAGCAACUCGGGAUCCGAGCCGCAUCUGCAACCUACACCACAGCUCACGGCAACGCCGGAUCGUUAACCCACUGAGGAAGGGCAGGGAUCGAACCCGCAACCUCAUGGUUCCUAGUCGGAUUCGUUAACCACUGCGCCAUGACGGGAACUCCUCAUGAAUGAACUCUUAAUUCUCCCAACUCCUGUAAGGAGGUAGAUCCUGUUAUUAUUCCCAUUUUACAGAUGUGAAAUCUGGGACACAAGAUGAGAAACUGAUAUUACUCAGCAAAGAUGGCGCAGAACAGGGAUUCAAACUCAUGUCAUUUAUUCAAGGGCUGUGUGCUUAAUCACAAGGCUGUACAGUCUCUUGAUAAAAUUAUGAAACCACUUUGUGCUAAGUCCAACAACCAACUGAGUACAGGGUGUAUAGUGAGUUGUUAGGGAAGGCAAAGCUGCAAAGCUGAGUCAGGGACAAUUUAGGGGGGCUUAGAAUGCCAGGCCCCGGGGUUUGAACUUGAUUCUUUGAGGUUUCAGAGAAUGCAAUGCCCAGACCACUGGAAGGGAGUCCAUAAACAGGCUUUAAAAUAAUAUUUAGUAGUUACGUAUAUGUUUUAAGUUUAUUAGAAAUAUAUUCAGUUUGCAUAUACAAUCAAGUGGAAAAGAGAACACAUAAAGAACAAAGGAAAUUUUAUUUAACACUUUACAUAUUCUCCUACUAUGUGUCAGGCAUUAUUCUAAGUGCUUUGCAUUUUAACUCUUUUAAUUCUUAGAGCAACUCUAUAAGGCGGGUACUAUUAUCCACCUCACUUACAAAUGAGGAAACCGAGGCAAACAGGUUAACUUAGAUCUCACAGCCAGCAGACGGCAGAGCCGGGAUGGGAACCCGGAUGUUUGUCUCCAGCCUGUGCUCUUCGCAAUGAUGCUAAGUGAUGAAGAGUCGAGGAGGGAGGGCAUCUGCUCCAGGUGAUGUGCUCCAGAAUGACCUCUUCGAGGACUGCCAGGAGGCGUGGCGCAGAAGCUGACUCCACGCCUGUGAGAGGCACUGGCAGCAAACUGGCACUUCUUAGCCAACAAGGCAGGAUUCCCAGCACAUUUCAAGGAUCAGGUGUCCACGUCAGAAACCAACCCAGCUCUAAGUGCCCCAAAAUCACGUUGCGGGGAGUGGUGCUUUUGUGCUCAUGUGCCUGGACCACUUAUGCACCUGCUCUGGAAGCCCGAAGCCCCCAGGACUGCCCAGACCCCCUGCUUUGGGAUGUGGUAGAAGAAACCAGAGUCUGGUUUUGGAUGCUCUCAGGCAGGAAGUAUUAUGCAUCCAGAGGAGGCCUAAUCGCACCGCCACCCCUGACCUACGAGGAGAGCUCUUGAAGCCUGACUCACCACCAAGCCCUGGAGCAGGACUGGAGACCGCCUCUCCCUGCACAUCUGCGCCUCUUCCGUCUCCAUCGGAACCCUAUGGCUGGUGAGUUCCUUAAGGGACCACUCUCAUCAAGAAUGCCCACUCCCACCUCGAUCCACCUGCUUUACCAAAAGCCUCCCUAAGGCAGAAGCGGUGCCCUGCACCCCACUCCAGUCCCGCAUGGCCACCCAAAGUGUUUGAUGCCUGAUCCAGGAUAGGAGAUGGUCAGCAGCCCAGCUCUGCCCCCACCAGCUUUCUGCCUCUACAUGGCCCUGGGCGAGCCCGGUCACCACUUUGUACCCAUUCUCUUCAUUUGAAAAGGAGGAACUGAGAGCAGAUCCAAGUCACGUGACUAUGUUAGGGGAGGGGGUUACCUAGAUAAUGUAUCGAAAAUGUUUAGCCCAGUGCUGGGCACCUAUUACAUACUAGAUAAAUGAGAGCCAUGACUCCUAAUAAUAUUAAUACAAGUUUCUAGUUUGACGGCCCAGACCUGGAGUGUGGAAACAUGCAAGCAUCAUUUACAAGUCCUCCAGUCUUGCCUGCGUUGGGUUUGGCACCAAGGAACCACCACAACCUCUGAGAGCUGAGGCCGUCUUCCCUUUGUUAGAUCCUCUGCUUUCCCUUCUGGCCUGGACAAGCCCUCCCUGCUUUACCUAAUAGGAGGAGCAAGUCUUUGCCAGAAGAGAGGGAGACAUCCUUCGAAAGGCAUCUAAAACGUUGCCAUUUAUGGUGCAGAGUGAAGGCCAUAGCUACUCUUUCAAUGACACAUGCACAAAAGCUCUUGUUAUGGACACAAAUAAGAAAAGGGAACCCUUCGCCUGGUGUAAUUCACUUCAUUUAUUGACCAGAGUUCUCUCCCCCAACCCCGAUUCCUUUGCAUUUGUCAGCGGUUCAGAGACCCCUGGCAUUCAGCAUGAUUUGUAAUGUAAAUUAUAUAAUUGUACUUUCACAUAUUUUAACAUCAAAUGAAAUGAUUGACUACAGAAUCGGAGCUGUCUACAGGUGGGGGUCAAUUACCAUCUGAAUAAUCACAGUGCCACACAAGAAUAGCAUAGCCGCUGAGCGUGACAUAUUUUUAUCUCUAUGCAUUUCAAUGAAGUCAGGCUGGUACAUAAAAGGUUAUCACCUAGGAAACAUAUUUUCCUAAGCACAAGUUAAACAUGCAAGUGAGAUCAGCAAAGAUAUUCAAUUUAGCCAGUCAACCCUAACCUAUUAAUAUUUUAACAAAAUCCAGUGAGGAUAAUUUUUUUCUUUGAUCCCAUUUCAUGUGAGCAGCCUGGAAAGGGAAGAAAAAUUAAAAACAAAAUAGUCAAGCAUACAGAAUGAGGUUAUGUAUUAAGUGGGCUAUUUAAUGUUUCUGGCAUUUCAUAGCCCAGGGGAAAGUGUGGAUGGAUUUAACCAUCAAGAGCUGUGUUCCCUUGGCCACAAAGUUCGAGAAACAUAAAAUAAUCUAUACUUCCAAGCUGACAAAUCGUACCUGACACCCAGCUUCAUCUCACCGGGACUCCGGAGAUCAGCAUUAAUCAUAUGUUACAGGGAGUAAAAAGAAAAGUAAAUCACGCCACACUGAAAAGUGAGAUGGAAGGUCUUCAGGCAAGGAUUUUAAUCAAUAAUAUGUGGGAUGAUAACCAGAAGCUAUUGUUUUAAUCUUCCAAUAUGAAAAGAAAUGAAUGCAAAACACAAAGCUACUGAGAGCAGAAGCGGCUUCCAUGAUGCCUUGUAAGAACUGAAAACAAUUUGGCAGCUCAACUUCCCGUCUUGAUGCAUGACACCCCCCCCCCCACACACACACGAUUUCUUUUUAAUGGGAAGGAGUCAGGUGCAUCCUUGAAGUUGCUUGUGUCUGGAGCCAUUGCUUUUGCCCAGGUCCUGGGUCCCAAGCUACGCUUUGCUCUGUUCUCCCUGUUCAGCCAAUGUCUACUAGUUUGGCACUUCCAGCUUCCAUUUCUGCCCCUGCUAAGAGAUGCUUCUCUCCUAAAUUCUCAGUCCCUGUGGCUUAGGUCGUGUUGGCUUCCCCAGCGGUUCUAGGGAAAGAGGUGUUUCUGUCCUGGCAUCACUGAUUUAUUAGUUAAUUAAUUAAUUCACGAUUAACUAGUUCUGGGAUGAGUGGGAGAUUCAUUAGAGCCCACGAGAUACAGCCUUGGGUGUUCUUGGCUGUACUCUUAUGAAAGAGGCUGAUAUGGGUUGAACUGUAUCCUCCUCAAAAUACAUGUGUUGAAGGCCUAACUCUAAAUACCCGAGAACAUGAGCUUUUGGGAGAACAGGACCAUUGCAAAUCUGAUUCGUUAAGAUGAAAUCAUACUGGGGUAAGUGGGACUCCUGAUACAAAGCAAUUAGCAUCCUCAUAAAGAGAAAAUUUGGACCCAGACAGAUACACACAUAAUGUAUCUGGGAGAUGCCAGGUAAAGACGAAGAGCUCUGGGUGAUGCUUUUACAAACCAGAGAACUGCAAUUAUGUCCAGCAAACUGCCAGAAGCUAGGGAGAGGCAUGGAACAGAUUCCUCUGGCCCUGGUGACAUUUUGAUCUCAAAAUUCUAGUCUCCAGAACCGUGAGACUAUUUCUAUUAUUUAUGCCCCUCAAUUUCCAUCCAGAGUUUUUUCAGGCAGCCCUAGCAAUUUAAUAGAGAGGCCCCCUCUCUUUUAUUCCCAUGUACUAGGAACUUUGAAAAUUUAAGUUUGGUCUGUGCUAUGCUCUGAAUGUGUUCUCCCAAAAUUCAUCUGUUAGAAUCCUAACCCUGACAGAUGGUAGUAUGAGGAGGCCUUUGGGAGGUGCUUAAGCCAUAAAGGUGGAGCCCUCGUGAAUAGGAUUAGCAUCCUAUAAAAGAGGCCCCCCGAGAGAUCCUUAGCCCCUUCCACCACGUGAGGCCACAAUGAGAAGUCUGUGACCUGGAAGAGAUCCCUCACCCAAGCACGCCGGCUCUCUCAUGUCGGACUUACAGCCUCCAGAACCAUGAGAAAUACAUUCCUGUUGUUUGUAAGCCACCCCGUCUGUGGCAUUUUGUUAUAGCCGCCCAAAUGGACGGAGACAGCACGGCUGGCGUUUAUCUUACCCAGCAGUGGAGCCAACAAUUGCAAAGCUGAGCGCCUACUUACAGAGAAACCUACACCUCAGGCAGAUAUUUCCUGGGUCCCUGGGUCCAUCCAUACCUGAGGUUUUAUCCCCAAUUUUGUGAUUAUGUGAGCUCUUAAAUUCCCAUUUUUACUUAAGCUACUUACAAUUGAAUUUUCAUCACUUACAACUGAAGGAAUCCUAAAUGGUUUAUUCUGAAAGCAGUCAGUGUGCUCUUAGGAUGAAUUAGUAGACCAGAAGUCUUCAGAAAAAAGGACAUGUUCUUGUCAAUUAGACCACAGGAAGGUGGCAUUCAGUUUGAGGCAUCACACGUUCAAGAGGGAUAAACAUGGGCAGAGUGUUUGAGUGGUGAAAGACCCGGGCUGUGAAUGACAGGAGGUAUAAAGGAUGCUUGUCCUAGGCCAAAAAAAAAAAAAAAAAAAAAAA